RNAcentral lists this small RNA (2042 nucleotides) under Arabidopsis thaliana (thale cress). RNAcentral's name for it is "ATSL100530". The record is from RNAcentral. Lineage: Eukaryota; Viridiplantae; Streptophyta; Magnoliopsida; Brassicales; Brassicaceae.
UUCCAAUAAACAAAGAAUCAGCAUCACUUAGACCAGUUGAAAACGCAUAACUAGAAUACUGUUGAUCAAGAAUACUAGAUGUUUCAGAUACACACGCCUCAAUAAUCCUAGAGGUUAACCUCGACUGCCAAAAUAAAAAGCUUACCUCAAACAUCAAUCUAUCUUAAAUAAUGAUUUUACAAGGAUUUUUAAAAGGGGUUUAAAAACGAUAAUGAUUUUACAAGAUUUUUUAAAAGGAUUAUUACCUGAGUAGUAGAUGCAGAAUGAGAAGCAAAAGGAUUUGAAGUCGUCUCAGCCUGUAAUAAACUCAAUCACUGACUUAAUAAUGAUUUUACAAGGAUUUUUAAAAGGGGUUUAAAAACGUUAAUAAUGAUUUUACAAGGAUUUUUAAAAGGGGUUUAAAAACGUUAAUAAUGAUUUUACAAGGAUUUUUAAAACGAUUAGUACCUGAGCAUUAGGGACAGAAUGAGAAACAAAAGGAUUUGAAGUAGUCUCAGCCUAUAAUAAGCACAAUCACUGACUUAAUAAUGAUUUUACAAGGAUUUUUAAAAUUAUAACACAAGAAGGUUAUUGAAAAACCUGCUCAACUGUCACAGAAAUUUGCUCUAUAGUCAAACAUAACUGAAGCAAUCCUCCACUCUGUGAGAAUUUGUGCAUAAAAGUUGCAAGCUGUCUAUCGUUCCUAGUAUAAAGAGGAUGAGAUUGUAUGGUUGUAGACGUGGAGACUAACUUGUAACUAAGCUUCAAAGAAUUGGUUGAACUAUCUAUUUGAAAAUCCUCUACAAGAAUAUCAACCAACGCGUGAUAGGUAAUGUGCUCAUCAAUGAGCACUAAAGAAGCUCCCAAUUCAAUGUCUAAUUCAAAUUCCCAAGUCAUAUUGUUUGUCAACUUCCACAAGCCACAAACAGAAUACAAUUCUAGCAUUAUAACCUGAUAAGAUAAAUAACAACAAAAUCAACACCUACAAAAACACUGUCACUACAGAGAGAAGCAAGGUUUACAAAUCGUUUUAAAGAGUAAGUAAGUAGCAUAGAAUAAUUUACAAGGGAUUUUAAAAGCUUUGAAAAGUGGUUAACAUGGUUUACAAAUCGUUUUAAAGAGUAAGUAAGUAGCAUAGAAUAAUUUACAAGGGAUUUUAAAAGCUUUGAAAAGUGGUUAACAUGGUUUACAAAUUGUUUUAAAGCGUAAGUAAGUAGCAUAGAAUAAUUUACAAGGGAUUUUAAAAGCUUUGAAAAGUGGUUAACAUGGUUUAUAAAUCGUUUUAAAGCGUAAGUAAGUAGCAUAAAAUAAUUUACAAGGGAUUUUAAAAGCUUUGAAAAGUGGUUAAUAUGGUUUACAAAUCGUUUUAAAGCGUAAGUGACAUAGAUCUAUCACGAAAGCAUAUGCAAAAGAGGUAAACACUAAAUCAGAACCAAAAUCUAUUACGAAAUAGUAUAACGAAUUCACAUAAGCAAAUCUAUCACGAAACAGUAUAACGAAUUCAAAAGGAUUUUAGAACAGUAUAACGAAUGUACAAGGAUUUUAGAAACAAAUUCAAUCAUCAAAUCUCAAACAAAAUUCAAAUUCGAAGCUGAAGCAAAUGUCAAACUGUCGAUUGAAUCAGGAUUCAAAUAACGAAUUCACAUAAUCAACAACAAAAAUCGAAUAAACCAAUUCGAAAACGAAGAUUUAAGCUAACAUUAUAAAAUCAAACCUGGGAAACGCAAGAGAUUCGACGACGACACACAGCUCUACUUACGACGGCGAAGAUGGGUUUUCACGGCGAGUAAACUCACUAUUUCCGACGGCAUGGGAUUCAACGGCAUUCACAAUUUCCGAUGGAGGAAGAAGAGAGAGAGUGAAGAAAUGAAUUAGGUCUGUGGGUAGCUCAUUAAAGGUAAUUUGGGGAGAAAAGUAUUAGAAAGGGUAGAAAUGAAAGUGGGAAAAAAAAGGGUAGAGUUGCAAAAGGGCAUUGAGAAAAGGGCAUUAGAGUGAAUUAUUCUAAUUCUUUUGACAUACAAUUGUUAGUAAUUAUUUAACUGGCCUAUUCUACUUUAUAAAUA